AGGUUAACCGUAUAGGGGAGCCGUAGGGAAACCGAGUCUUAACUGGGCGAAUGAGUUGCAGGGUAUAGACCCGAAACCCGGUGAUCUAUCCAUGGGCAGGUUGAAGGUUGGGUAACACUAACUGGAGGACCGAACCGACUAAUGUUGAAAAAUUAGCGGAUGACUUGUGGAUGGGGGUGAAAGGCCAAUCAAACCGGGAGAUAGCUGGUUCUCCCCGAAAGCUAUUUAGGUAGCGCCUCGUGAACUCAUCUUCGGGGGUAGAGCACUGUUUCGACUAGGGGGUCAUCCCGACUUACCAACUCGAUGCAAACUGCGAAUACCGAAGAAUGUUAUCACGGGAGACACACGGCGGGUGCUAACGUCCGUCGUGAAGAGGGAAACAACCCAGACCGCCAGCUAAGGUCCCAAAGUCAUGGUUAAGUGGGAAACGAAGUGGGAAGGCUCAGACAGCCAGGAUGUUGGCUUAGAAGCAGCCAUCAUUUAAAGAAAGCGUAAUAGCUCACUGGUCGAGUCGGCCCGCGCGGAAGAUGUAACGGGGCUAAACCAUGCACCGAAGCUGCGGCAGCGACACAAAGUGUUGUUGGGUAGGGGAGCGUUCUGUAAGCCUGCGAAGGUGUACUGUGAGGUAUGCUGGAGGUAUCAGAAGUGCGAAUGCUGACAUAAGUAACGAUAAUGCGGGUGAAAAACCCGCACGCCGGAAGACCAAGGGUUCCUGUCCAACGUUAAUCGGGGCAGGGUGAGUCGACCCCUAAGGCGAGGCUGAAAAGCGUAGUCGAUGGGAAACGGGUUAAUAUUCCCGUACUGGUGGUAACUGCGAUGGGGGAACGGAGAAGGCUAGGUUGUCCGGGCGACGGUCGUCCCGGUUCAAGCAGGUAGGCAGAGUGAUUAGGCAAAUCCGGUCACUUAAUGCUGAGAUGUGAUGACGAACCACCAAGGUGGUGAAGCAAUUGAUGCCCCGCUUCCAGGAAAAGCCUCUAAGCUUCAGGUUACCAACAAUCGUACCCCAAACCGACACAGGUGGUCAGGUAGAGAAUACUCAGGCGCUUGAGAGAACUCGGGUGAAGGAACUAGGCAAAAUGGUGCCGUAACUUCGGGAGAAGGCACGCUGGCGGUAGGUAAAGUCCCUCGCGGACGGCGCUGAAGCCAGUCGAAGAUACCAGCUGGCUGCAACUGUUUAUUAAAAACACAGCACUGUGCAAACACGAAAGUGGACGUAUACGGUGUGACGCCUGCCCGGUGCUGGAAGGUUAAUUGAUGGGGUUAGCGUAAGCGAAGCUCCUGAUCGAAGCCCCAGUAAACGGCGGCCGUAACUAUAACGGUCCUAAGGUAGCGAAAUUCCUUGUCGGGUAAGUUCCGACCUGCACGAAUGGCGUAAUGAUGGCCAGGCUGUCUCCACCCGAGACUCAGUGAAAUUGAACUCGCUGUGAAGAUGCAGUGUACCCGCGGCAAGACGGAAAGACCCCGUGAACCUUUACUAUAGCUUGACACUGAACAUUGAGCCUUGAUGUGUAGGAUAGGUGGGAGGCUUUGAAGUGUGGACGCCAGUCUGCAUGGAGCCAACCUUGAAAUACCACCCUUUAACGUUUGAUGUUCUAACCUAGGCCCAUAAACUGGGUCGGGGACCGUGUCUGGUGGGUAGUUUGACUGGGGCGGUCUCCUCCUAAAGAGUAACGGAGGAGCACGAAGGUUGGCUAAGCAUGGUCGGACAUCAUGCGGUUAGUGCAAAGGCAUAAGCCAGCUUGACUGCGAGAGUGACGGCUCGAGCAGGUACGAAAGUAGGUCUUAGUGAUCCGGUGGUUCUGAAUGGAAGGGCCAUCGCUCAACGGAUAAAAGGUACUCCGGGGAUAACAGGCUGAUACCGCCCAAGAGUUCAUAUCGACGGCGGUGUUUGGCACCUCGAUGUCGGCUCAUCACAUCCUGGGGCUGAAGUAGGUCCCAAGGGUAUGGCUGUUCGCCAUUUAAAGUGGUACGCGAGCUGGGUUUAGAACGUCGUGAGACAGUUCGGUCCCUAUCUGCCGUGGGCGUUGGAAGAUUGAGAGGGGUUGCUCCUAGUACGAGAGGACCGGAGUGAACGCACCACUGGUGUUCGGGUUGUCAUGCCAAUGGCAUUGCCCGGUAGCUAAGUGCGGAAGAGAUAACCGCUGAAAGCAUCUAAGCGGGAAACUUGCCUCGAGAUGAGUCUUCCCUGUCGCUUUAAGCGACCUAAAGGAACGUUUAAGACUAAGACGUUGAUAGGCUGGGUGUGUAAGCGUAGCGAUACGUUGAGCUAACCAGUACUAAUGAACCGUGAGGCUUAACCUG
This 2301-nucleotide ribosomal RNA is filed under the name Proteus mirabilis. Its description in RNAcentral is "partial 23S ribosomal RNA". It matches the Rfam family "Bacterial large subunit ribosomal RNA", at positions 643 to 2925 of the family's 2925-position model. Lineage: Bacteria; Pseudomonadati; Pseudomonadota; Gammaproteobacteria; Enterobacterales; Morganellaceae. The record is from RNAcentral.